This 339-nucleotide long non-coding RNA is filed under the name Manacus vitellinus (golden-collared manakin). RNAcentral describes it as "lncRNA (ENSMVIG00005013251.1)". The record is from RNAcentral. Lineage: Eukaryota; Metazoa; Chordata; Aves; Passeriformes; Pipridae.
CAGUGAUUCAGAGUUGGUGGGAACAGCUUCAGCCUCUCCAAGGAAUACUGUAUAAAGACGAUCCUUCCCUUCCCACCUCUGUGUUUCAGGUCUGGCAAGAGGAUUAAGAAGACCAGGAAGUAUGACAUAAUCACCACUCCAGCUGAGAGGGUAGAAAUGGCUCCUCUGAAUGAAGAAGAUGACGAGGAUGAAGACUCAACAGUGUUUGAUGUGAAAUACAGGCUCACCCCGAGGAGGUUUUCCUACCUGGUUAUUAAAAGUGAAGGUCCUGAUCCAGGAGCUGCAGCCAAGGAGGAGACAAAAGACAGUGAAGCAUCCCAAAAUGGAAGGAGUCUUUGA